UGUGGUUUUUUUUUUUAAUUGUAAAUUUAUUUAAGCUUAGGUUUUCCCUCAGUCAGACCACAUUUCAAAUUUGGUCGAGGUAAGAAUUUAGCGGAUUGUCGACUAUAGUCCUGAGCUUGCAAUCAGAUCCAAAGGAGGAGACUUGCCAUUUGAGAUCUUAGAGCCUGUCGAUAUGGAUCCAAUUUCAGGUUUGCUUUCUGGAUUUGGAAACUAUUUCUAUCUCUGCAUGUGCUUUUGGCUGGUAAUUGGCCUGUCCAUGGCAGGGCAUCCUGCAGGCAACUCGUGGACAACCAGGAUUCUGUAGAGUCAUUUUUAUGUAUUUAUCAUGCUAAACAUGCAGCUGGUGGGAUUUUUUUUGGUCUUGCUCAGUGAAAACAAAGAUGGCCAGGCUUUAUGCUAUAGGUAUAAGCUUGAGUCUUGGGAGAUUUCCAGAGAUUUCUCAAUGUGAGGUUUUAUUCUUUUAACAGUAAGGUCUCAGUUCUAGAUUGUCAGUGAGGUAGCGGCUACCUGGACUUGCCAAAGAUUCAGACUUACUUGCCCUAGAUGGGGCAGGACAGAAAACAAGAGUUAAGUAAACCUUGCAACAAACUUCACAAACAUCCACAUCUGCUUUGUUCUCACACAUGCCUUCCGCUUUUGGUUUGUAUGACUCAUAAUUCAGAUGACUGGGAGAAAGUGAUCCAGGUAGUAACUCUUGAACCAUAUACACAGUAAGUCCAAACAAACGAUAUUGCAGAACUUGAACUUCCCAGAGCCAGCCUUAUUCCUAAUGCUUUCAGCACACUGUGCCACAAUGUCCCAAGGAUUAUAUAAGACCUAAAGGGUGCUGUCAUGCAGGAGUUCUUGUGUUGCAUCUUAUCUGGGGUGAAGGUUGUUCAAGGUAGGUUUCCAUAUCGCAUACCCAUAAGCGUUAAGGACAGUUUACUUAUCAGAUUAUGUUACAGGAAAUCUUGAAUAAACUACCUGAAAUCAUAUUACUGCAAAAGCUUGGACCUUGGAUGUGAAUCUGCAAGAACAGAACUGUCUGGGUAUCAGUCGAAAUCAGUGGAAUCUGGUUUGAAAGAUGGGGUCAGUAGGCACAGAGAAAGCAGCAAAGUCAAGAUUUAAACCAAUAUUAAACCCGGUUAAUAUUAUUGAACAAAACAUUCUCAGUGUAAUAAAUUAGUAAAAAUACUUGUAAAUCUUAAAA
This is a long non-coding RNA of Pezoporus occidentalis (night parrot), 1189 nucleotides long. RefSeq lists it as uncharacterized. The transcript has 2 exons. The record is from RefSeq and is a predicted model, not a curated record. Lineage: Eukaryota; Metazoa; Chordata; Aves; Psittaciformes; Psittacidae.